UGGUGGUAGUGGUUGGCAAAUCAAUAAAUUCAAUUUCCGUGUCCUAUCGAAACCCACUCCGGGCUGCAUUCGGCUAAACCGUGAACCAAUCAUCCCGGAUUAUGGCCGUUCUUGUUAGUUGAUUACAGUUCGUUGACAAACGAAACCUGCUGCGCUAUUCACGCCGGUCCCACCGGAUCAUCUCGAAACAGGCGAACAAUCGCAGCUGCAGCCUGCUGCUGCCAUGGCUGGCUGGAUGUUGGAGGAUGUGAACAGAACCGUCGUAGACUGCAGCGCAUGUUUCAAAACGCAACAAGAGACAACGCAACGCAACGCAACCGCUUGGCCGUCUUCCCGUGUGGAACGCCACACGAUCGCUGGAAACGAGGCUUUGGAUUUAUGUUUCCGAUAGUCAUCGGGGAACGGAUUUUGGGGAGGACUGCGCGAUAUGAUCUCAUGAGCUCACCUUCACAAUGGAGCCAUCCACUAGCAACAAUCAGUGACAGUUAUCCUGCCGUGUUGUCGUCUUCAACGCAGGGAAAACGCAAAAAGCAGAGCUUAAGGGAGUACAAUAUUCGCACAACCGAGAGCCUCUGCUUGGGUCCGGACAGGAACAGCCAGGCAAGCAGACAAGUGGAUCAUGAAGAAAAUCGUGUCACUUCACUAUCACACCGGGUUCCGUGUUGUCGGUGACGCAUACCACAUGAUGGAAGCUGUGCGCGGCGGUGUAAAUUGGCUCAUAACUAUAAGCGUACAAGCUCUAUCCGCCACUCGCUGACGGAACGGACCGGAAAAGCCUGCAGUCCGCAAAAGUCAAGCGUGAAACAAUCGCCAUAAAUUACUCGACCGACACCACGUGCUCCAACGCACGCAGUUUGUUAAGCUACGUGAGUUAAACAAACGACCGGAAUCGGGAUUGAAUUCAAAAGCCCUCCCCCGAUGCGUUUGACAUGUGUAUUAAUUUGUGAAAAGUACGUUUUCUACGAGGUCCUCUUUGUUUGUUUUAUUUUUCGUGUUUGAUGUAUGCAGUUCAAUACACGCAUCCAGGCCUAGUAUGGAUCAUCUGCACCGAUGUAACCGCCAUCGCACUACUGGACUCCCUUGUCAGGAUAAAGCAUAACCCGCAGACACAUCCGACGUGGCUUCUGCUUUUGUUGCACGUUGUUUUGUUCCUUGAAAAAUGCCUGAUGAGGAGCGAAAAACUCCCCCCCGUCUCGUGAAGUGGUUUGUCAGCAGUCGCCCGAACAUCAAACGAAUUUUGAGCGACGUGCUUACCCGUUACGGCACACAGUGGCACGGCGGCCCCUUGGAACAAUAUGCAAUUUUCAAUCUACUCCGUCGAAAGCGCUCUCCCGAGAGCGUCCAGGAUGUCAACGACGUAAACAAAAAUUAUGCACAAAUCCUGCGUUUAUGAGCGCUUGCUGCUCCGUGCCUGAGAUGCACCACUAACCUUCGGUGUCGUUGUUUUUGGGAAGCCAACAGCCAAACAAGAUUUUCGCAACCACCAUUCGCGCGCGAACGGCGGAUCAUCGUCACGUUUUUCCACCCGCGUCAGCACGAGCCACCCGCCGACAGAGGGACCAAAUUUUUGAACGCAAAAGUGCAAGCAUCAUCAAGAGUAUGCUUCCGGGUGCCUGUGGUGGUGCAACAUCAGCGAGGCACACUUCCGACGGAUUAUUGGGUUUCGAGGAUUUGGGGCGAGAAAUGGGUGUAUGUGUUGCUCGAGCAAGUAAUGACAGCCGACCUUGCCUGUCGUCGUUUAUGACACGCGACACACAGUGAUGGAGGGAAAUUAAAUUGCGCUAAUAACCGGAACAUCGGAAAAUGCGCUGAUGAUGAUGCAUCCAUUGACGCUUCCGAGAAAACUCCUCAAUCGGAGAGGAAAGAUCUGCCGCAGAGUAGUGCGCAUCAUACCGAUCCCCGUUCCUGCUAACCACUAACUGCAGAAAAGCCAUCCGCCAUCAUGAUACAAUAAUUGUCACUGGCAUCGUCUAACACCCGCCCGAUGAUGACGCCUAUGCUGUGUGGGUAUAAGAACGCUUCGAACGGAACUGACUGCAUAAACUUGACGGAUAGAUGGCGCUGUCAUCGGCUAUUAGUGUAAAUAGUUCACCAAGUUCAAUCUAAAUAAACACCUCGUUUAAAUAUUAUUCCGAGGGCAUUUAACUUCCGUCUGGAAGGGACAGGUUAGGGUUUCGCAUUCACACUGGAAAAGAAAUAGACACAGGAAGGAAAAAAACAGCAUCCCGAAAGCAUGAAAUUUGAAUAAAAAUGGGAACUCUUUUCUACAACUUAUGAAUAUGCCAUCAUCACCACCUUCAAACUAUCGAGCACAACUUCGGGGGAAAUAUGCUGCCCCGAACAGGUUGCAGAAAUACAGGGGUUUACAUGGUUAAAACAACCGAUCUAUAUGCAGAAUAGUUUACAACUUGUAGCUUAAAUCGCACCAUUCCAGAGAUAUCCUGUCCACAUGAAGAAAACAACUUUCCUCAAGCAGGACAAGAGGAAGUCCUAGAGAUCAGUGACGGAUCAAGGAUUUUGGCGGAAAUGUGGCCUCCUGCCGAGCGGAAUGGCAGUUGAGGCCUAUCUAAUUGUGACUUGCAGCACGUAACGAGGCUUCGCUAACCUAGCGACCGCUCCUUCCACUCCAAGGUUGUUCCACCACUGCUGGAAAAUAUCGACUCGAUAGAAAGAUCUUCACGAGGAAUUGCCUUUUGAUUCUAAAAAGAGUUAGAAGCUAAACUGAACUGAACUUCUGAGACAUUACCAUGUUCUUAAUGCUGUUUGUCAAAGAUCCCAUCCCGAAUAUUCUUCGGAAGCUACCAGGUUGUUGUUUUUAUAGAUAUAUCUCCCAUCGACCCAAUCCUCCAGAAUCUACUCGACAAAUCCCCCACUAACCUCCGAAAGAUCUAGAUCACAGCUUAGCAUCGCAUACGACGAUCGAUAUUACGAGCAGACAUCGAUGAACUAGACAGCUAGUUCAUCGAUGUCUUACUUUAACAACAAAUGUCUAACUAAAGAGUAAACUAUUGCUCGAUUUUCGACCUGGUAAACCCUGUAAACCGCUCGUUUACUAUUUUUCCUUCCACGAUUGCGUACCGUAUGUGCACCCUACCAAAUGGAUAACACCACACAUUGCAUGAUGGCCGGCCGACCAGGAAAUGCAAGAUUGUUCGUUAGGAGCCUUCCAUUUUUUGUUGUUGUUGGCAAGCCACACCAUCACUAGGUUCGACUCCGGUCCACUCCCUGUGGAAUUCGACUUCGAUUGUGGAAAAUGCUGGUGCCUCUCUGUUGUGUGUGUGUAUGAUUGCAAAAAAAACGCCGGGAAUGCAUUACUCGCGAGGGAAUGCUUUCCCCUUGCCGGGGUUUCCCUUUUUCGCCCCUCAACUUGAUCAAUUUUCCACCAGCAGUUUUCAUCCGUAUUCAUCCGUAAUUUGCAGAGUCUUAAAUAAUGUGCUUCUCGUAUGGUAUGAAAGGCCAGUAAAGGGAAGGUUUUGCAUAUGAUCCUUGUGAAGUGAGGGAGCUGAUUCGUGGUUUGUGAUGCUCUAAUAUUGAAUGCAUAGUCGGUAAAGAAUUGAAGUUCCUUACAAAAUUAUUCUUAAACGGUGCCUUGAUGAUAAGCCUCGGAAUCGACAAAAGCAGUAUUUUUGGAAUUGAAUAUCCUGUGGAAUCCUUGGGAAUCCUUAUCAUACUGACCUCUUUAGAUUACGUUUGUCCAGAUGGUAGUAUCAUUCAAUGCAAUCAUGCUUAAUAGACGAAAGGAGUCAGCUCUUACCCUUACCAUACCUUGAAUUCCGUUGUUCCUCGGCAUUAUUCGUUCCAAAUUGAGACGUCACAAAACGGCUCCGAAAACGGGUUGUGUACCUCAGUAGCUUCCGUACGUAAUAUCUACCCGGCCCAACUCCAUGUCCAAGUCGUCGUCGGCAGCAUGGUCGUCUGCUCGUUACAGGAAAAACAUAUGAAUUUUCAUAAUGUCGGGAAUGUGUGUUUGCUCUGGUGCUCCGUGGCCGUGGAGAAUUUUGCUGAGGUAAGGCGCAACACACCCCACCAGCGCAUAACGUAUGAUUGAACACGCACAUUUGUUGUCCGCACGGCGCACACUGAUGCCUCGUCCUGUCUACAGGUUUGUUCUAUCCCUCAUUCAC
Molecule: RNA transcript, 4124 nt
Organism: Anopheles stephensi (Asian malaria mosquito)
Lineage: Eukaryota; Metazoa; Arthropoda; Insecta; Diptera; Culicidae
Exons: 10
Source: RefSeq, a predicted model, not a curated record